This 263-nucleotide unclassified non-coding RNA is filed under the name Archaeorhizomyces sp. RNAcentral's name for it is "partial contains 5.8S ribosomal RNA, internal transcribed spacer 2, and large subunit ribosomal RNA". The stretch from base 1 to 69 matches the Rfam family "5.8S ribosomal RNA", at positions 84 to 154 of the family's 154-position model. The record is from RNAcentral. Lineage: Eukaryota; Fungi; Ascomycota; Archaeorhizomycetes; Archaeorhizomycetales; Archaeorhizomycetaceae.
GUGAAUCAUCGAAUCUUUGAACGCACAUUGCGCCUCCCUUAACCGGGGGGCAUGCCUGUCUGAGCGUCAUUUAAACCUAUGGACCCGAAUGGGUUCCGUGUUGGGCCUCGCCUCUCUUCAAGGCGUCGCCUCGAAGGCAUCGGUUUCACAGAGCGGACGGGAUCCUUAUGGACUGACCGUUUCGUGACCGGAGUUUGACUCUGACUUGACCUCAGAUCAGGUAGGGACACCGCCUGAACUUAAGCAUAUCAAUAAGCGGAGGA